GAAUUUAAAAUAACAAGUAUGUGAACCAAAAAUCAGUAUUCAGUAAUAGAUCUAAUCUACUACUAUUAAAAUUCUGAACCCAAUAUCUGAGCAUAGAUAGUCGAACUCUAUGAUCGAGAAUGUAGAUCUAAAAGUUCUCUCUAGUCGCUCACAGUCACAUAAGCAUUCGACCUCUACAGAUGGUCCACAUGAAGCCUUAAGAC
Molecule: long non-coding RNA, 203 nt
Filed under: Elaeis guineensis (African oil palm)
Lineage: Eukaryota; Viridiplantae; Streptophyta; Magnoliopsida; Arecales; Arecaceae
Description: long non-coding RNA (EGUI_LNC046220)
Source: RNAcentral